RNAcentral lists this unclassified non-coding RNA (240 nucleotides) under soil metagenome. RNAcentral's name for it is "partial contains 5.8S ribosomal RNA, internal transcribed spacer 2, and large subunit ribosomal RNA". The record is from RNAcentral.
AACCUUAUGGACCUGCGGGCGUAUACCUGCGGAAGGAUCAUUACAGAGUGUGACCCCUCUUAAAAAUUGGGGGUACCUCCCGUCCUUUGUUGAGUCCCUAUUUUUAGGGGCUUUAAACUUUUCUGCUUCGGCGGGGUAACCCGCCGGAACACCCUCAAAAUUCUUUUGAUUUUAAACAGUUCAGUCCGAGUACUUUUUUGAAAAUAAAUUCAAAACUUUUAACAAUGGAUCUCAGAUCGG